AUCGCUUUUGGAUGGACCCGCGGCGUAUUAGCUAGUUGGUGAGGUAACGGCUCACCAAGGCAAUGAUACGUAGCCGAACUGAGAGGUUGAUCGGCCACAUUGGGACUGAGACACGGCCCAAACUCCUACGGGAGGCAGCAGUAGGGAAUCUUCCACAAUGGACGCAAGUCUGAUGGAGCAACGCCGCGUGAGUGAAGAAGGCUUUCGGGUCGUAAAACUCUGUUGUUGGAGAAGAAUGGUCGGCAGAGUAACUGUUGUCGGCGUGACGGUAUCCAACCAGAAAGCCACGGCUAACUACGUGCCAGCAGCCGCGGUAAUACGUAGGUGGCAAGCGUUAUCCGGAUUUAUUGGGCGUAAAGCGAGCGCAGGCGGUUUUUUAAGUCUGAUGUGAAAGCCCUCGGCUUAACCGAGGAAGUGCAUCGGAAACUGGGAAACUUGAGUGCAGAAGAGGACAGUGGAACUCCAUGUGUAGCGGUGAAAUGCGUAGAUAUAUGGAAGAACACCAGUGGCGAAGGCGGCUGUCUGGUCUGUA
RNAcentral lists this ribosomal RNA (532 nucleotides) under uncultured Bacilli bacterium. RNAcentral describes it as "bacterial SSU rRNA". It matches the Rfam family "Bacterial small subunit ribosomal RNA", at positions 214 to 738 of the family's 1533-position model. The record is from RNAcentral. Lineage: Bacteria; Bacillati; Bacillota; Bacilli.